Small nuclear RNA from Struthio camelus australis, 96 nucleotides. Lineage: Eukaryota; Metazoa; Chordata; Aves; Struthioniformes; Struthionidae. The record is from Ensembl.
GUAUUAUGCAAUGCACAUACUAAAAUUCGAACGAAACAGAAAAUUGGCAUAGUCUCUGUGCAAGAAUGACACACGCGUUCGUAAAGUAUCCUCUUU